CCCUAUUAACAUAUCUGAAACAAACUCCACCGGCAAUUUGUGUUCCAAUUGGAUUGAUCACCUAAAAAAUGUAAAAGAGUUGCGCCGGCUUCGCAUGUGGUACACCGUAGAGGGGCUUGGCCGGAGUCGACUCUUCCAAACGCUCAUAUCUCGCGUUGUACGCCGUCGGCUCAACCGCUCCCGGCGUGGAUCGACCAACCGUCGACCCUAGCAUUAACUCCCGCAUUGAUUUUACGUCCGGCUGGCGCACUGCGGGCGCGAUUUGCGAAAAACGCGAACAAUGCCGGCGAAUUUCGCUUCGUCAAAAUGGCCGCCCGGCUCUGCAGAUCUGCCUGCGGCCCGACGUGUGUGAGUGUGUGCGUGUGCAGCGAGCGGCGUUGAAUGCCAUUCGCGGCGCGUUUCGCGACCAGCCGAAAUAUUCGGACAUACGGGGCGAAACACGUUUUCGAAGUGUUUGCGCGAAAACACAGCGGAAGGCCAGCGAUAAGAGGCGGAAAAAUCGGCCGGCUACACAAUGGGGCAAUCCAUACGUCCGUCUCGCUUAUCUCCACCGAACAUAUUCUUUAUUUCUGCAUUAUCUUUGUCUGUUUAAUUUAUCUGUCGUUAUUAUUAAAUCCAGCGUGUUGCACCAACCGUCGUGUUGCGGUGCGAUUUGCAUAGUCGUAGCAUUAUUCAACUGUUUUUCAACUAUCAACAAAUAUGCGCCGACUCAUACACACACUGCCGCAGAUGCACGGGAAUUAUUAUUAGACACGCUGUGAGUGAAUGUGUGCACGAGUCGGCACAUGAGUCACGAGAAACGCCGGUGAUGAAUCGGCACAAGUCGCAAAUCUGGAAUAAUCGAAAGUCGCGAAAGCCAAACAAGGUGACAAAUUUGGUUAGAAUUUCCCAUGCAUACUACAACAUACAUUGAUUGAAUGCACAAUAUGGUCGUGAAGUAUGGAAUUAAUUGAAUAGUUUUUUUCGGGGCGUACGACGCGUGGAAAUAAUUGGUGCGCUUAAUUAAUGCGCGCUUGACUCAGACUCAUUUAGCUAAUUGGUGUUUUAUUUCAUUCUAUUUGAUUCAAUUCCACUAUUACUCAAACAUAACCUAGAAUGAAUUCGUCGACCAUUGCGUGAAUAAAACGUGUCGAAUCAUGUUUGAGGGUUGAGGAGAGCAGAACAAAGCACUACGCACACGCAUAAGGGAAGUUGUACGCGAGAUUUUAGGGUCGCGCCGCUCUUUGCGCAUCACCAUCAUCAUCCCUUCGGGAUGCGCGCGUGUGCGCGCGCUUGGAAUUCAAUGUCGCGGACGCGGAAAGCUACGCCACGCGACGCGCCGCCACCACCCCAUUGACGGGAACGCGCGCCGGGGUGUGCCGGUCCCGACUUUAUUGAUCCUGCGCGCCGGCGAAGGGGCGAAAGCAGCGUGUGCCGUGUGGCUGGCUGACGUUGGUUCUGUGGAUAUAUUUGUGUGUGUGUGUGAGCGGCGGUGGCGGUCAAUGCGCCGGAUAGCCUUCACCUUGCGCCGGCAUCAAGGCCCCUCCGUGCGUCGAGUCGAGGACGGUCGCGCGUCUCGCGACCGUCUAUGACUAUUAUCUCGGCGAUGCUAGCGAGCCAGUCGGCGUGCACAAGUUCAUUAUGCGUUCAAACAAUCGACGAAUGCCUCGCUGCCCAUCAAGUCUCGAACAGGUGAUGAGCGAAAAUUGAUUAUACGGAAUGUUGCCACAAAAAAAUAAAACACUUUGGAGAGAAAAUGUUGAGUGGCACGCGACCCUUUUUCUCUUGUGUUAUCAUCGAUAAUGAUAGCGUUGGGUUGAGUUAAAAAUUCUUUUCUAGGUAAUUAACGGCUUUUACGUUUUAUCAAUCGUAAAAAGUAGGUUUUACACAAUUUGUGUUGUCAAUAAAAAUUGUAUAUUGCUUAUCGUGUGCAUGUACGGAGAAUUUUGAGAUUAUUUUGUUAUCUUUCCACUUUACACGCCCUAAAAUGUCAUUUUAUGCACUCUAGACAUUUAAUGCGGAUUUUCCUGCUUAUACUUUACUUUUUUCGGAUUCUACGAAAGUGAUUUUAAUUUUAGCCUUUGAAGGUUGCUGCUUGUAUAGCUUAAUUAAAUAUUUCGUUUUGUUCGGUUAUAAUAAUUUCAUUCAUACGUCAUAAAACCAAAGAGCAAGACAACGGACCCCCCUUUGUUAAUAAAUAAUUCAAGAUAGAAAUGUGCCAUGUACGCACAAUGAAACAUAAAACCUCCCGGGCAUAUCGUGUAAAAGUAUUUCUCGUAAUUCCUGCAGUUCGUCGAGUUAAUUGAUAAUUAACUCGAACCUGAACCGUGCAUGUACAACAAAAAUAUUUAGACUUUAAUCGGCUUGCUUGACGUUUAUAAAAUUCAACAAAUAAAUCAUGUUCAUACACGAUUUGAUGGGUUUAUAAGUUUUAUUGUCGAUGAAUUUACAUUUACAAGACGUGCAAUUAUUGAAAUAUUUCGGAUCUGACCUGGUAUUAUUAAUUGUCGGUGGGCAUGCCACAUGUAAUUGUAAUUGUGGAUAAUUGUCGGAGCGUUUAUACGUUUUGAAUGUUCGAUAAUUACAUUGUAAAUCGCGCGCAAUUAGGAUGGUUAUAUGUUUAUUAUGCGUGCCACACAAUAAAUUCAAUGUUAUCAUCAUUAGUUGGCGAAGAAUUAUGUAUCUUUUGAAACAGUGUGAUUGUAUUUUAUCAAACAUCCUGUAGAUUGUUGUGUGUUGCACUUGUGUGUGGUGGCAACGUUCGAUAAUGUCAUUGUGUGGAAGUGUUCAUCUGCUGGAUCGGCAUCGGCCGCCCUAUCCUGCCCAGCGAGAACGGACGUGCAACGUGGAAGUCGUGGAGCUUGAACCGCGCGGGCCGGACGGAACGAACAAAACGUGCGCGCGCCCGGUGCUUGUGCAUGCUGCCAAACAAAAAGACCCGUUUUUCGGCUACAUCUACUUGCGGCCGAAUUCAUCGACUGACUGGUUUUUGGUUUUGCGCCUGGAGAGUUUUUCUUCAUAUAUAUUGCAAUCGUGUAUUAAUUUCGGUUAUAUUUUUGGCAACUGAAAUGAAGUCACUCAAGAUGUUUCCAACUUGUUUCUUGUGAAAAAGAAGAGGAAAAAACUUUGCUGUCGUAAAGUAACUUGCGGCGGAUGAUGCACAAGAUGCACACACAUCCCACAUGCGACUGAAACAUUGAACAUUCUGAAAAUGUGAAAAAUAGCUGCCACUGCCAACUGAAAAAGUUCUCUCCUGCAAGAAGUCCACAAAAUCAACUUUCAGCUUCUUCUGUUUGUAUGUGCGUGUCUCUUGUUUUUCUUUUUUCCUGUAUCAACAUUUCAUACUCAUCCCCCCUGGCUAGAUAGCUACUAGAACCGAGGUAGAAAGAAAAGCUUUUACUUGAUAUUAACCAAAAGAUCUAGGAGUUUUAAAAGGUCUCGGCUCUUCGGUUCUAUUCUAUUCUGAACAUCUUACAUACGUGUUGUUGUGUUGUGCGUCAUGAUGGAAGUAUUUUUCCACCAUGUUGUUGUUGCGCGCACACACAUUAUCUGUACAACAGCUGUUGUGCAUUGCACGAGACCCUUCACCUAAGCUGCUCUUUUUUAAUGUAUGCAUGUGAACAAACCGCCGCGAGACUUUAGAAUUCACUCGUAACGGGAGUUUAUCAAAAUUUAUGCGACUUUUAAACACGGCACGGCGUUGUGUUUGGGCGUGUUAAGUUGUGAAAGGUUAUCACGCCGAGUGCAAAUAAUUGCCGGCGUGGAUUUUUAUUUGUCAGCUUAUAAAUAAAACGUUUGAUAGCGUUAAA
Long non-coding RNA from Dalotia coriaria, 3788 nucleotides. RefSeq lists it as uncharacterized. The record is from RefSeq and is a predicted model, not a curated record. Lineage: Eukaryota; Metazoa; Arthropoda; Insecta; Coleoptera; Staphylinidae. The transcript is spliced from 2 exons.